Dermacentor albipictus is the source of this 1150-nucleotide long non-coding RNA. RefSeq lists it as uncharacterized. Lineage: Eukaryota; Metazoa; Arthropoda; Arachnida; Ixodida; Ixodidae. The record is from RefSeq and is a predicted model, not a curated record.
CCUUGUCCUGUCUGGUUUUCUUAUUGUGUGCUGUCAUUUUUUGGCGCGUAUUCUAUUGAAAGCUAUGCACCAACUAGCCCCACAACGUGUUUUACUGCAGUACCUUUCUUCUACAGUGGGCCCCUUUCUAUGUGUGCCUUCCAGUGCGCCGAAUCCUUCGGUGGUGGGCUGGCAUAUCGCCCUUGCGACGUGCCGAGCGAGAACCCUAGGAUACUGCAUUAGGAAGGGACUUGUACCGACAGAAUUCGCCGCUCUGUUCGGUUGCGUUAGACCGUCGGUUGGCCAUGUGAAAAGAAUGUGCAGGAUACUACGUUCCGAGAUAUGGCGACAGGUCCGCCUGCUCUACGAUUGGCUUCACCUGGUAUGCUUUUCGCUGGACCCAGUGCACAUUGAGGCGAAACCAAGGAAACCAGCAGAACGGCGCUGCAAGUUCUCGGGGGAGCCUUCAUCCCGGAAGACAUCGUUGACGUCCUCAACAAAGGCCCCAAGUUCAGCUCCGAGCCCAGGAUCCCGGGACAUGAACUUCUCUCCUUGAAUAGAAGGAUUUCCAGCAAAGCUGCACCAGAGGACAAGGAAAGGUGUCUGCUGGACGGAGUUGACAGCCUGACCAGAACAGUGUCUAAGAAAGGAACUCGUCCAAGAACCCCCACAAAACGUAUCGUGAAUUUUUUCAACGACAAUGACCUUCGACUCCUCCAGGCCGACAAAGAAGCAGGGUUCGUGGCCAUGCCGUCGGGCAUGUUCAACGAAAGGGCUCUACAAGCCAUCCAGAAGAAUUUCAAGGUAACCAAACUCAAGCCGAGUAAGGAUAAGAGCCGUGCCAUAGCUUUGUGUGAAGACCUUGGACUACAGAAGCUCGCUAAUAGCGUCCAGAAAUGUAGAAAAAACUGUUUAAAUGUAUUCUUUACUGUAAAAACGCACAAAGAUGAUAUACCGUUCAGAUGUAUUGUGAGCGAAAGAGCUUCCUGGCAAAACAACGUUAGCCGCUACCUUCUAAAGCAGCUUAACACGUUGGUUAUAGAUGACCCAUUCAUGGUAAAGAAUAAUUUUGACGUCAUAGCCUUUUUACGUGAGUCCCAUUCGAUACGAUGCUUGUUUUCAAUAAAUGUUGUUGACCUUUUUUAUUCUAUUCCGCAAAAAGAACUGUUAG